RNAcentral lists this ribosomal RNA (484 nucleotides) under uncultured bacterium. Its description in RNAcentral is "partial 16S ribosomal RNA". It matches the Rfam family "Bacterial small subunit ribosomal RNA", at positions 30 to 507 of the family's 1533-position model. The record is from RNAcentral.
AUUGAACGCUGGCGGCAGGCCUAACACAUGCAAGUCGAGCGGAUGAAGGGUGCUUGCUCCUGGAUUCAGCGGCGGACGGGUGAAUAAUGCCUAGGAAUCUGCCUGGCUGUGGGGGAUAACGUCCGGACACGGGCGCUAAUACCGCAUACGUCCAGAGGGAGAAAGUGGGGGAUCUUCGGACCUCACGCUAUCAGAUGAGCCUAGGAGGGACUAGCUAGUUGGUGGGGUAAAGGCCUACCAAGGCGACGAUCCGUAGCUGGUCUGAGAGGAUGAUCAGACACACUGGAACGGAGACACGGUCCAGACUCCUACGGGAGGCAGCAGUGGGGAAUAUUGGACAAUGGGCGAAAGCCUGAUCCAGCCAUGCCGCGUGGGUGAAGAAGGACUUCGGAUUGUAAAGCACGUUAAGUGGGGAGGAAGGGCAGUAAGUUAAUACCUUGCUGUUUUGACGGUACCAACAGAAUAAGCACCGGCUAACUUCGUG